AACUUUCAACAACGGAUCUCUUGGCUCUCGCAUCGAUGAAGAACGCAGCGAAAUGCGAUACGUAAUGUGAAUUGCAGAAUUCAGUGAAUCAUCGAAUCUUUGAACGCACCUUGCGCUCCUUGGUAUUCCGAGGAGCAUGCCUGUUUGAGUGUCAUGAAAUCUUCAACCCACCUCUUUCUUAGUGAAUCUGGUGGUGCUUGGUUUCUG
RNAcentral lists this ribosomal RNA (207 nucleotides) under Rhodotorula sp. RhSoW01. RNAcentral's name for it is "5.8S ribosomal RNA". The stretch from base 1 to 154 matches the Rfam family "5.8S ribosomal RNA". From Rfam's summary of the family: 5.8S ribosomal RNA (5.8S rRNA) is a component of the large subunit of the eukaryotic ribosome. It is transcribed by RNA polymerase I as part of the 45S precursor that also contains 18S and 28S rRNA. RNAcentral also lists the same sequence under 1 other name. Lineage: Eukaryota; Fungi; Basidiomycota; Microbotryomycetes; Sporidiobolales; Sporidiobolaceae. The record is from RNAcentral.